GCACGGAUGGCCGAGUGGUCUAAGGCGCCAGACUUAAGCGAGUAGUUCCUGGAUAUCAUCGCUGAGAAUUCUGGUAUCGUGAUCGAUGCGUGGGUUCGAACCCCACUCCGUGCA
Non-coding RNA from Ascaris lumbricoides (common roundworm), 114 nucleotides. NCBI's taxonomy places the organism in Eukaryota, Metazoa, Nematoda, Chromadorea, Rhabditida, Ascarididae. The record is from Rfam.